UACGGGGGGGGCAAGCGUUGUUCGGAAUUACUGGGCGUAAAGGGCUUGUAGGUGGCCAACUAAGUCAGACGUGAAAUCCCUCGGCUUAACCGGGGAACUGCGUCUGAUACUGGAUGGCUUGAGUGUGGGAGAGGGAUGCGGAAUUCCAGGUGUAGCGGUGAAAUGCGUAGAUAUCUGGAGGAACACCGGUGGCGAAGGCGGCAUCCUGGACCAUUACUGACACUGAAAGGCGAAAACCAGGGGAGCAAACGGG
RNAcentral lists this ribosomal RNA (253 nucleotides) under uncultured bacterium. RNAcentral describes it as "partial 16S ribosomal RNA". It matches the Rfam family "Bacterial small subunit ribosomal RNA", at positions 524 to 776 of the family's 1533-position model. The record is from RNAcentral.